Molecule: ribosomal RNA, 464 nt
Filed under: Vreelandella stevensii
Lineage: Bacteria; Pseudomonadati; Pseudomonadota; Gammaproteobacteria; Oceanospirillales; Halomonadaceae
Description: partial 16S ribosomal RNA
Rfam family: Bacterial small subunit ribosomal RNA
Source: RNAcentral
CUACGUGUGUCAGCAGUGGGGAAUAUUGGACAAUGGGCGAAAGCCUGAUCCAGCCAUGCCGCGUGUGUGAAGAAGGCCUUCGGGUUGUAAAGCACUUUCAGUGGGGAAGAAAGCCUUGGGGCUAAUACCCUCGAGGAAGGACAUCACCCACAGAAGAAGCACCGGCUAACUCCGUGCCAGCAGCCGCGGUAAUACGGAGGGUGCGAGCGUUAAUCGGAAUUACUGGGCGUAAAGCGCGCGUAGGCGGUCUGAUAAGCCGGUUGUGAAAGCCCCGGGCUCAACCUGGGAACGGCAUCCGGAACUGUCAGGCUAGAGUGCAGGAGAGGAAGGUAGAAUUCCCGGUGUAGCGGUGAAAUGCGUAGAGAUCGGGAGGAAUACCAGUGGCGAAGGCGGCCUUCUGGACUGACACUGACGCUGAGGUGCGAAAGCGUGGGUAGCAAACAGGAUUAGAUACCCGUGUAGUC